This 490-nucleotide ribosomal RNA is filed under the name uncultured bacterium. RNAcentral's name for it is "partial 16S ribosomal RNA". It matches the Rfam family "Bacterial small subunit ribosomal RNA", at positions 30 to 507 of the family's 1533-position model. The record is from RNAcentral.
AUUGAACGCUGGCGGCAGGCCUAACACAUGCAAGUCGAACGGUAACAGAAAGCAGCUUGCUGCUUUGCUGACGAGUGGCGGACGGGUGAGUAAUGUCUGGGAAACUUCCUGAUGGAGGGGGAUAACUACUGGAAACGGUAGCUAAUACCGCAUAACGUCGCAAGACCAAAGAGGGGGACCUUCGGGCCUCUUGCCAUCGGAUGUGCCCAGUUGGGAUUAGCUAGUAGGUGGGGUAACGGCUCACCUAGGCGACGAUCCCUAGCUGGUCUGAGAGGAUGACCAGCCACACUGGAACUGAGACACGGUCCAGACUCCUACGGGAGGCAGCAGUGGGGAAUAUUGCACAAUGGGCGCAAGCCUGAUGCAGCCAUGCCGCGUGUAUGAAGAAGGCCUUCGGGUUGUAAAGUACUUUCAGCGGGGAGGAAGGGAGUAAAGUUAAUACCUUUGCUCAUUGACGUUACCCGCAGAAGAAGCACCGGCUAACUCCGUG